CGGCGUGCCUAAUACAUGUAAGUAGAACGCUGAGAGAGGAGCUUGCUCUUCUUGGAUGAGUUGCGAACGGGUGAGUAACGCGUAGGUAACCUGCCUUGUAGCGGGGGAUAACUAUUGGAAACGAUAGCUAAUACCGCAUAACAAUGGAUGACACAUGUCAUUUAUUUGAAAGGGGCAAUUGCUCCACUACAAGAUGGACCUGCGUUGUAUUAGCUAGUAGGUGAGGUAAUGGCUCACCUAGGCGACGAUACAUAGCCGACCUGAGAGGGUGAUCGGCCACACUGGGACUGAGACACGGCCCAGACUCCUACGGGAGGCAGCAGUAGGGAAUCUUCGGCAAUGGGGGCAACCCUGACCGAGCAACGCCGCGUGAGUGAAGAAGGUUUUCGGAUCGUAAAGCUCUGUUGUAAGUCAAGAACGGGUGUGAGAGUGGAAAGUUCACACUGUGACGGUAGCUUACCAGAAAGGGACGGCUAACUACGUGCCAGCAGCCGCGGUAAUACGUAGGUCCCGAGCGUUGUCCGGAUUUAUUGGGCGUAAAGCGAGCGCAGGCGGUUUGAUAAGUCUGA
This 569-nucleotide ribosomal RNA is filed under the name Streptococcus thermophilus. RNAcentral describes it as "bacterial SSU rRNA". It matches the Rfam family "Bacterial small subunit ribosomal RNA", at positions 40 to 592 of the family's 1533-position model. The record is from RNAcentral. Lineage: Bacteria; Bacillati; Bacillota; Bacilli; Lactobacillales; Streptococcaceae.